RNAcentral lists this ribosomal RNA (522 nucleotides) under uncultured bacterium. RNAcentral describes it as "bacterial SSU rRNA". It matches the Rfam family "Bacterial small subunit ribosomal RNA", at positions 777 to 1297 of the family's 1533-position model. The record is from RNAcentral.
AAUAGAUACCCUGGUAGUCCACGCCGUAAACGAUGAGUGCUAAGUGUUAGAGGGUUUCCGCCCUUUAGUGCUGCAGCUAACGCAUUAAGCACUCCGCCUGGGGAGUACGGUCGCAAGACUGAAACUCAAAGGAAUUGACGGGGGCCCGCACAAGCGGUGGAGCAUGUGGUUUAAUUCGAAGCAACGCGAAGAACCUUACCAGGUCUUGACAUCCUCUGACAACUCUAGAGAUAGAGCGUUCCCCUUCGGGGGACAGAGUGACAGGUGGUGCAUGGUUGUCGUCAGCUCGUGUCGUGAGAUGUUGGGUUAAGUCCCGCAACGAGCGCAACCCUUGACCUUAGUUGCCAGCAUUUAGUUGGGCACUCUAAGGUGACUGCCGGUGACAAACCGGAGGAAGGUGGGGAUGACGUCAAAUCAUCAUGCCCCUUAUGACCUGGGCUACACACGUGCUACAAUGGAUGGUACAAAGGGCUGCAAGACCGCGAGGUCAAGCCAAUCCCAUAAAACCAUUCUCAGUUCGGA